Sarcophilus harrisii (Tasmanian devil) is the source of this 10174-nucleotide long non-coding RNA. NCBI's taxonomy places the organism in Eukaryota, Metazoa, Chordata, Mammalia, Dasyuromorphia, Dasyuridae. The record is from Ensembl.
AUCACUUCCGGUCUGAUUUUGCCAUAACCUAGCAGGCCGCAUAAACAUCCUCAGUGGGCCACAUGUGGCCCACAAGCCGUAAUUUGAGGACCCCUGCUUUUAGCCAAGAACCAGGUGGCUACCACUUCAUAAAAAAACAAAAACAAAACAAAAACAAAAAACAAACAAACAAACAAAAAACGGCUGGAACACACUUUAGAGGGAGGGGAAAAGAGAGGAUUCCAUGUGGCUGCUCUUCCCCUCACUCCACCUCCAAAGAGGAAGGAGGGAAGGGAAGAUGAACUAACCUGCACCCCAGGCUAACUAGAUGCUCCCUACCUGAAGUAGCAGAGAGCACUAGGGAGGAGGGAGGAGAGGAAGAUUCCAUAAAAUCCACAUGUACAGCAGAGCAGGAUUUAAAGCAUAAUUUACAAUGUUAUAGGUAACAAACUCUGAACCAAACUAAAUACAGCUUUAAAUUCCCAAUAAUAUAAAACUGCUUUUCCUAUCAUAUUUCAAAUAAUGAAUUUCACUGUGAUGACCGUGCUAGCACCCAGGACACCCCAGAAUCAGCCGGAGUCAGAAUAAGCAAAAGUCCUUAGUCUUUAUUCUUGGUCUUUAGACGCAGGAUUGAAUAGGAUGGAAGCAGAAUCUCUGAGACUGCCUUCUCCCUUGUCUACCGCCAAAGUGACUCUGGCCAGUCUUACUCCACCCCCAAAUCCCUCCUACAAUCCUCUAUAUACACCAAUCAUUGAGCCAGCACAAGAUAGUGGGAAGGACCAUUUUUCAAGCAUAUGCUCAUAGAGUAUUGUCCAAUCAGCCCUAAGUGCUUGAACUAACCUCAGUGCAACGACUCAAGAGUUUUAGCCCUCUACGUUUCACUAAACAGCAUAGUUUUUCUUUCUCUCCCUCUGGCCCUACAUAGCCAUUAUUCCCAAUGGACUUCUAAAUUCCAAUUUUUGCCAGAGUUGAAGCCUUUAGAAAAAUCAGACCUUUCUUUAUCUAAUUUCAGGCAAGUUAACAGAACUUCACUUUAACAAACUAUUGUUCUUAUUGAUCUUAUCCUUAAAGAUAACUAAAUCUAGCCUGCAUAGGCUACAGUAAAAUUAUUUCCCACAAUUUAAAAACUGCCCAAAAGAAUACUCAGAACAAAUCUGGCAUGCAAAGGCAAUAGUAAAAUUAUUUCCCACAAUUUUGAAAUCAUCCUGAAAUUCCUAAUCAAAUGUAUUCUCCUGUCUGAGUUUCAGUCAGAUAAGGUUUUAUUACCCUUUACUCUAGCAGGCUCUGAAAACCUGCUCCAAGGGAAAAACGUUUGCCUUUUUGUUCCUUUUACUCAGAUUAGUACAAGUUAAAAAGUUUAAAAUCACAAGCAAAUUUUUAUACUACACACAGUUGCAACAUUGAAAUAACCAAUCCCCAAAUUUCUUAAUCAUUGUUUUUAAACUUAACAGCGCUCUUAAAUUAACAAAACAGACAAGUCACACAGAACACAGAACACACAGACAUAGACUGUGCAGUCAAAACAUUUAACACAGAGACCAGGGGCCAUCUGGAAACCUUAGAAUAGCCCUGAGGAAAGUUGUCAGCUUGAGAGUCUUCCCUCCCAGAAUCCAAAUGGAGAUUUUUUUUUUUUCAAGCCCCAGUUUGGUACAUUUCUCUGCCUUCACAGAGAAUGCCCAGAUUAAAACCAGGAUACCAAAAGGUACUCAGAACCAGAUAAUACCCAAAAGUUUGGUACCAGAUAAUUCCAAAAGGUACUCAGAUACCCAAAGUACUCUGGUACUCUGAAAUACCAAAGGGUAUUUCAGAACCAGAUAAUGCCACAUAGCAUCCUACUGGCAUUUUCCAGACUUGUAUGGCUCAUCAGCCCAACUUUUUCUGGGGACCAGAUUUGCUAACAAUCAGAUCAGACAGAAAACUUACCCUGCAGGGAUUUGAAACCAGAUUCUCCCAUGGCCAAAGGGAGGUGUCCCACCGUCAGGCAUCAGGCACAGUUGUGGCUGAAAACUGCUCUUUCCCAGAGGCUCUGGAAAAAAAUCCAGAGGGCCAGACUCUCUAAGCAAAGAACCCAGAUCCCCAGCCACCCUGAGACCCAAGAUGGAUCCCCAAGUGUCUCUAUUCUCUAAUCCUGCUCUCAUUUUUUAAUAUCUCAGUUGAAAGCCUCUAAAAUGUAAUGCCAGAGAAACUCAUGCAGGAUAGAGAUUAGAGAACAAUUUAAUAUUUUAUUUGAAAGGGAGAGAUUUACUGGGUCCAAAUAGAUCCAUGGUUUGGUCACAGGACUGAAUGAGACUAUUGUCUCCAAGAAUCCAGCAGUGAAUGUAGGAUACAAGAUUCUUUUAUAGGGUAAUAAGAAUGAUGACAAAAUGAGGGAAGUAACUGGAUGGGGAUGACCUAAUGUGGGGAAGCAUUUAGGAUGACAUAAUGGAGGGAGGUACUGGAGAGUCUCCUGAUAUUCUAAUGAUGUCUAAGAUACAAGACCUUUAUCCUAUCAAAACAUUAAGAGGGAAUGAUUAUAGCCUGAGGCAGAGUAACUGAGUAGGACAAUUAGGGAAACUGGGUCAGGACAUUAAAAAAGAACUGUGGCAUAAUUCAGUCAUCUUUGUUGUCUCUAUUUGGAGUUCUCUUGGCAAAGAUACUGGAGUGAUUUGCCAUUUCCUUCUCAAGUUUAUUUUACAGAUGAAGAAAUGAAGGGGAAUGGGGCUAAGUAAUUCACCCUGGAUGACAAGCUACUUAUUUUACAGAUGAGGAGACUGAGGCAAACAGGAUGAAAUUCCUUCCCCAGGAUCAUACAAAUAAAAGUGUGUUAAGCCCGCUUUGCAGAUAAGAAAACUGAAGCAAAUGGGUUAGUGACUUGCCCAAGGUCACAUGCCUAGUAAGUUUCUGAAGUCAGAUUUAAAUUCAAGAAGAUGAGUCUUCCUGACUCCAGGUUUGUUACUCUUAACCAUUUUGCCACAUCGUUGCACUUAAAUUUCUUAUCCAGCUAGAAUUUACAAGAGUAUAUGGUAUUAAGAUUCCAAAUUAUUUUUCUGCCAAAUUACCAAAUUUUAAAAUGUACAUUUGUUAGAUAAUGAAUCCUUUUCUCAAUUCUUAUAUUCUAAAAGUGUGUCACAUAUAAAACUCAUAUAUAUUUGGUAUGUCUAGCAUAAUCAUUUCUGUUUCUACCCUGUUUAUUUUUGCCCAUUCGCUGAUACUUUGGAUGGUAACUACUUUGUCAUAUGUUUUAAUUUUCGGGAAAUACAAGAUCCCUUUCAUCAAGUCAAGCCAACAAGAAUUUAUUAAAUGUCAAUUAAAGGCCAGGAAGUAUGUGCUAAGUACUGAUGAUACCAAUAAAGACAAAAAAAAUUUCUGCCUUCAAGAAGCUCACAUUCUAAUAGACCACAUGCAAACAACUGUCUUUGUAUUACAUAUAGAUAAAAGAUGCAAAUAUCCAUAUUAUCUAUAUGUCUCUAGGAUAAAUUGGAGGUAAUCUCAAAGGAAUUGGCAUCAAAAAAUAAUAUUGGGAAAGGCUAUUUUGUAAAAUGUGAGAUUUGAACUGAGAUCUGAAGGAAGUAACAAAUCUAGGAAAUGGAUAAGAAGAGAAAGAUUAUUCCAGGUAUGGAGGACAACCAGCAAAAGCCAUGAAUUUGGAGUAUGGAGAUAGUGUCACAUGCAAGGAACAACAAAGAGUUUAUGACUACUAAUCAUAGAGAGCAUGGAGGAAAAUUAGCUAUUAAGAGAUGUUUUUGUUUUUAGACUGGAUCUAAAUAUAAAGAAGACUGGGAAGCUAGGAAGGAACCAGGUUGUGAAUGGCUUUAAAAGCCAAAUAUAAGGUUUUAUAUUUGAUUCUGGAGAUUUUACCGAAUAAAGUGGUGACAUGGAAAAUCAACAUGACAAAUGAGGAUGGACUGGACUGGGGAGAGACAAAACAAGGAGACUAACCAGUAGGCUAUUGCAUUAGUCUAGGCAUGAGGGAAUGAGGGUUUGUAGCUGGGUUGGCAGCAUCAGGGGUAGGGAGUAUAGGAAAAAAUGUUACAAAGGCAGAAAUGAGCAGACUUAAAUGAUUAGAAAUGGGGAAUGAGAGAGUAAGGAAUGAAGAAUUGCACCUUUGAGUCUGUGUAACUGGGAGGAUUGUGGUGCCCUCAAUUGUCAUAGAAGAGUUAGAAAGAAGGUGGGGAUAGGAAGAUAUUGAGCUCAGUUUUGAAAAUUUUGAGCUUAAGAUGUUUGUAGGAUAUCUCAUUCAAGGUGUACAAUAGGCAAUUACUUGAAGAAACUAAAAGUGGAAGUCAAGAGGGAGGUUAGAAAUAGCUAGAUCUGAGAAUCAUAAUAGAAAAUUGAAUACAUGAAAACUGAUGAGAUAACCAAAUGAAAUAGAUUAGAGGGGGGAAAAGAGACAGAACCCUGUGAGAACGCUAAUGCAGCAUAAUUUGGAUGAGGAUCCAGCAAAGAUCUGAUAAAUACACAGGUAAAGAGAACCAAGAGAGAUUAAUGUUCUGAAAAUCAAGAGGGAAGAGAAUAUAAAGGAGAAGAGGGUUACUAACAGGAUCAAAGAAUACAGGGAUAUCAAGAAGAAUGAGAAUCUGGAAAUCUCCAUUAGAUUUGGCAGUUAGAUCAUUUAGAGAGGGCAGUUUCAGUUGAAUGAUGAGGUUGAAAACUAUACUUCAGACACUUUGGAAGAGAGUGGAAGGAAAGUAGAGACAAAUUAUAGAUGGCUUUCUCAGAUUAUCCAUGAAAGGGAAAGAGAGAGAGAAGAAAAUGGCUAGCAGGAAUUGACAGAUAAAGUAAGGGAUGUUAAAGGACAGAGGGAACAUUGAUGUGUUUGUAGGUAAUAGAGGCAGCCAGCUAGUAGACAGAUUGAAAAUUAAUGAGUAGAGAUAAUAGAUGAGGCAGUAUUCUGGAAAAGAAGUGUAUAGAAUGGGAUCAAGAGUGCAUGUUGUGUUAGUCUUGGCAACGAGAAAAGAACUCAUCAUGUGGGACAGCAGUGAAGGAGAUCAGGGGAAGAUAUCUAUCUGACUGAUAGUAGAUGAUGAAGACAGGAGAAGAGGUAGCUCUUACAGAACAGCUUCAAUUUCUUCAGUGAAGUCUGAAGCAAAGUUCUUUUUUUUUAAUUGGUAGAUCAGGCCUUUAAUCUACAUCUCAUGGCUCUAAUUCAAUCAUUCCCCUGAUAUAUUUCAUUACUGAGAUUUUCCUUACUUGAUCAAAUAGGACACUUUCUGCACCUGUCUCUGGGAGAUAUUAAAGACAAAUUCCAGGAUACAUUCUUUCCAGUAUAAGUUUCAAAAUGAAGCAAAGUUGUUAACUGAGAAGGGUAGAAAUAGGAGUGCCAUGGGAGGUUUGAGAGAGAUGGAAAGAUUUGGAAAAGCUGAUGUGGUUAAGUUGGAUGGUUAAUCAACCAUAUUACAUGGCAAGAUUUUGACCUAAUCAGAUAGAACCAUUUAAAAGAGUAAUCUAUUUUGCACAUUGCAAAAAGACAUCUUUCCUCAAAGAGGAAAAAUAAGCCCUCUAUACCAGGGGUCCUCAAACUAUGGCCCACAGGCCAGAUGCAGCCUCCUGAUGAUGUUUCUGCAGCCCGCCGGGUUAUGGCAAAAUCAGACCAGAAGUGACAUUCAACCUAAACUCACAUUAGCAAUGCACACUUCUGGCACUGGGCUGAGGUGGCGGAGAUAGAGUGUGAGGCAACACUGAGGUGAGGAAAUAAUGAUGUCAAGAAAAAGAAAAAUUGACUCGGAGUGUAGGAUAUUCAAAGAACAGUGGACUUAUGAUUACUUUUUCAUGCAGUACAAGGAAAGAGCUGUAUGUCUGAUAUGCCAGACACUAUAUUCUGUGUUCAAAGAAUAUAAUUUGCAUGGACACUAUGAAACUCAACAUAAAAAUAAAUAUGAUUGUUUGGUUGGAGAAGUGAGAAAAGAUAAAAUAUUAAAACUGAAAAAUACAUUGACAACUCAGCAAAAUACUUUUGUGAAGCAGAAGCAGCUAAAUAUUUCAUCACUGUGAGCAAGUUUUCAAGUUGCCAAGCUAAUAGCCUGUACUGGCAGACCAUUUGUGGAGGGAGAAUUUGUUAAAGAAUGCCUUCUUUCUAUUGCCAAAGAGAUGUGUCCAGAGAAGGCCGAUUUAUUUAGUAUAGUGAGUCUUUCAGGACCUAUAAUUACAUGGAGGAUUGAAGAAAUGGGAGAUAAUCUGCAUCAGCAUUUGCAAAACUCCAUAAAAAAAUUCAUAUUUUUCCUUGGCACUUGACAAAAGCAAUGAUGUUCAUGAUUCUGCACAACUUCUAAUUUUUAUUUGUGGGACAAAUUAUUUUGAAGUCAUAGAAGAGCUUGCUGCACUGCAAAGCAUCAAAGGAAUAACUACAGGAGAAGAUAUCUAUGAAAAGGUUUGCCAAACUAUGAAUGGUUUAGAGCUGGACUGGGCUAAACUAGCCAGCGUGACAACUGAUGGUGCUCCUAGCACGGUGGGGUCUAAGAAAGGAGUAAUUGCUCACAUUACCCAAGAGAUGGACAAACAACCAUUCUCAUCCAGUAGCCAUACACUGCCUCAUCUACCAACAAGCGCUGUGUAGUAAAUCACUGAAGUGGGACUCUGUUGUGAAAAUUGUGGUAUCUUGUGUUAACUUCAUUAGAGCUAAUGCACUAAAUCACAGACAAUUUCAGGAAUUUCUGUCUGAGCUAAAUGUUGAGUAUGAAGAUGUUCUAUAUCACAAAGAAGUCCAUUGCCUGAGUCAAGGGAGAGUUUUGAAACGCUUGUAUGAUUUAGUUCCACAAAUUACAACUUUUCUGCUUUCAAAAAAUAAAGAAGUACCAGAGCCAUGAUGCAGAAUGGAAAUGGCACCUUGCCUUUCUGACAGAUGUAACAGAACUACUCAAUAAUUUCAAUAUCAACUUCAAGAAAAGGGGAAGCUCAUCUGUGAUAUGCAAUCACAUGUCAAAGCAUCUGAAGUAAAAUAAGGCCUCCUCAUCAAACAAGGGAAGGAGGAAAACUUCUGCCAUCUCCCCAGAACUCAAAAUCUGUUAGCAUAAAAACAGCUGAUUGCAUUCCCGAACAAAACAUGUGUGAAUUCACUGGAAAAAUUGCAAAAGGAGUUCCAAUUUAGAUUUAAAAAGCUUCAUCUCCAUGAACAGGACAUACAGCUUUUCUGUAACCAUUUUCUAUUGACAAUGAAAAUGUGGAUACAAUUUACCAAACGGAACUGGCUGAACUGCAGAAUUGUGACUCUCUGAAAGACACAUUCAAGUCAAGCAGCCUUCAUAAUUUCUAUGCAUCUCUCCCCUCUGAGAUAUAUAUCCUCAUUUUAGGAACCAUGCACUCAAAAUGGCAACCAUCUUUGGCAGCACUUAUGUCUGUAAACAGACAUUUUCUAGAAUGAAACAUUUGAAAUCUCCAACCAGAUCAAGACUAACGGAUGCACACUUGUAUCACUUGUUGCGACCAGCAGUGACAAAUAUGGAACCAGACAAUGACAUCUCAUUAGCCAAAAGCAAGCCCAUAGUUCCCAUUGAAAUACUGAAUUAUCAUGCUGCACAAGAAAAAUCAGAUCAAAAAGGAAAAUAAUAAGAAAAAAAGCAAGCAAACAACAAAAAGGUGAAAAUGCUAUGUUGUGAGCCAUAUUCAGUCCCCACAAUCCUCUCUCUGGAUGCAGACAGCUCUCUCCAUUACACGUAUAUUGGAACUGGCCUGAAUCAUCUCAUUGCUGAAGAGAGCCACGUCCAUCAAAAUUGAUCAUCACAUAAUCUUGUUCCUGUGUACAGUGAUCUCCUGGUUCUGCUCACUUCACUUGGCAUCAGUUCACAGAGGGAGGAGAAUAGAAGAGGAUGAUGAGGAGGAGGAAACAGAAUACAAAACUUCCCAGGACCAUUGGCCACAGAGCACCAUCAUCCUAGGACAUCUGGACUAUGGAUCCAAAUGAAAAUGAAGAAGGGGAAACAUCAUGGAAUCACUGAACAUUCUGUACUUACACAUACUUUAAGCAAGUUGAGUGUUUAUAGAAUUUACAAGGACAGUGAUUUUAAUUCAAUCCCCUUCAUUUCAGUUCAGAUUUGUAAAAAACAGAAUUUUCAUUUUCAGAGUAAAAAAGCCUAUCCCUUGGCUCCAGUUGUCCCACCUAUAAAAUGAAAGGACUGGUCCAGAUUAUUUCAAAUGGCACUUCCAACCCACUCUCUAUUAUCUAGGAUGGUUGAUGGUUAAGAAUCAUGUGCUAAUUGGUCAUCUGGAAAGACUGGGUCAUAUGGAAAUCUAAAAAUAUUUGUUUUGUCAUCAGUAUUAGCAGAUGAACAACUGUUUGCCUGUUUGUUUUUUUUUUUUUUUUCCUGCAUGUUUUCCUCCCUUGCCUUUUUUCUUUGCUCCUCAUCUUCCUAAUAAGUAUUCUUUGAAAUUUCUGGGAUCCUUCACUAGAAAAAAAAAUCAUUAUUGUAAAUUCCCGGGACUUCAAUAGUCCUUGUUUAAACCUCUGAUCUCUGUCUUCCCAAAGAUCUUAAAUCUUAACAAGUUUGAGCAAAGAAGAAAGGGAAUGAAUUAAGCACAAAUUUUUUUUUUAAAGGGGAGGUAGGGAAACACACAAAGAGUCUGUCAUCCUCAAAGUUCCAGGUGAAUCAGUCUGGGACAAAACAGGUAUAAAAAUUCUGAACCUGGUCAUCUGAUCCCACACUCCCUGAAUAGAGUCAUUCUAAACAGAAACAAGUCAGGGGAGGGGAGGGUGUCUAAUACUAUACUCUAUUUGGUUGCUUAACCAUGGAGCUCUAGAUGGAGAAGGAAGGCACUGCCACCUACAGGUCUGAAAAGGAACAAGGCAAUAAAUUAUAACAGUGGGGGGUGGGGAGGGGUCCUAUUAACAUAAAAGUGUCAUUGACUUUAAAAAUUCAAAGUUUAUUUAGUUUAUCCUCCUGCCUUCAGGCAUAUCUAUGCCUAAACUAGCCAAAGUCUUGUGCUCAAAUUAUAGAAACUUAAGGCUUUGAACAAAUUGAAUCAAUCAGAUUAGCUAAGAAGGCAAACACUAAAUAUGAAUUAUUUGGGUGGUAGAUGGGUAAGGCUGUAAGGUCAUCUGAUAGCCUUUCCUUGUCCAGUGAAAAUAAUAAGAAUAGAUGACAUUUUUAUAAAAUAUUUCACCCAAAUUAUCUCCUGUAAUCCUAACAACCUAGAAGGUAGGUACUAUACAUUAUUAUUAACCUGGAAUCCAUAAAUGUUGAUCGUCCAUGAACUUGGAACUUUAAAUAUUUUGAUAACUAUAUUUCAACAUAAUUAGUUUCCUUUGAAAUCCUAUAUAUUUCAUUUUAUGCAUAUAAAACAUCAUUUUAAACUAAGCUCUUUAAUAAGUCUCAAGGAAAUCUGAUUCUUAGGGAAAAAAAGUGACUCAGUGAUCAUGGAGAUACUGAGAAUUGGAAGAGGGGUUCAAAUCCUGAUUUCUCCUAAUUCUAAAUCAAGCACUGUUCUCAAUAUAUUAUAUGCCUUUCACAUAGUUUGGGGAUUAGUAAUCCACUGAAGUCCCAUUCUUCACCCCUCAGAAGUGAGUGGCUUAGCAGAAUGACGAAGUUGGUUCUCCACUAGAGAAAAGAAGGCUAACUGUGGCCCUACACACAUUCAAUAAUUCCUGACUACAUAAUAGAAUCAUAUAAGAUGAAGUUAAAAGAGAUGUUUAAGAUCAUCUAGUUCAGGGAUUUUUAACCUGGGUUCCAUAGAUUUUGAUAGUCCCUAAAAUUGAAUUUUGAUAACUAUGUUUCAAUAUAAUUUCCUUUUGAAUCCUAUAUAUAUUUUGUUGCAUAUAUAUGCAUAUAUAUAUGUGUAUAUACAUAUGUAUACACACACACACAUUAUAAACACCAUUUUAAUGUAAGAUCUUUAACAGGUCUCAGUUGAGACCUAGGUAAGAAAGAAAUGAGUAAAAGAAUGGCCUUUUUCAAAGAAUUGGAAAUUGAGAGGGUGCUCAUCCGUUAAGGAAUAGCUGAACAAAUAAAUGAAUAUAAUGAAAUACUGUUGUGCUAUAAGAAAUGGUGAGCAGGCAUAUUUCAGAAAAAUCUGGAAAGACUUACAUGAAUGAAGUGAGCACAACCAGGAAUAACAGCAACAAUCUGAUGAUCAACUCUGACUUAGUUUUUCUCAGCAAUACAAUAAUCUAUGACAAUUCAAAAAGACUCAUCAUGGAAAAUGCUAUCCACAUCUAGAGAAAGAACUAUGGAAUCUGAAUGCAGAUCGAAGCAUUGUAUUACCUUUUUUGUUUUUCUCAUGGUUUUUC